AUUGAACGCUGGCGGCAUGCUUUACACAUGCAAGUCGAACGGUAACAGGCCGCAAGGUGCUGACGAGUGGCGAACGGGUGAGUAAUGCAUCGGAACGUGCCCAGUCGUGGGGGAUAACUACUCGUAAGAGUAGCUAAUACCGCAUACGAUCUAUGGAUGAAAGCGGGGGACCGUAAGGCCUCGCGCGAUUGGAGCGGCCGAUGUCCGAUUAGGUAGUUGGUGGGGUAAAGGCUCACCAAGCCAAAGAGCUGUAGCUGGUCUGAGAGGACGACCAGCCACACUGGGACUGAGACACGGCCCAGACUCCUACGAGAGGCAGCAGUGGGGAAUUUUGGACAAUGGGCGCAAGCCUGAUCCAGCAAUGCCGCGUGCAGGAAGAAGGCCUUCGGGUUGUAAACUGCUUUUGUACGGAACGAAACGGCUCUGGUUAAUACCCGGGGCUAAUGACGGUACCGUAAGAAUAAGCACCGGCUAACUACGUG
Molecule: ribosomal RNA, 482 nt
Filed under: uncultured bacterium
Lineage: Bacteria
Description: partial 16S ribosomal RNA
Rfam family: Bacterial small subunit ribosomal RNA
Source: RNAcentral